RNAcentral lists this long non-coding RNA (245 nucleotides) under Carica papaya (papaya). RNAcentral describes it as "long non-coding RNA (CPAP_LNC011998)". Lineage: Eukaryota; Viridiplantae; Streptophyta; Magnoliopsida; Brassicales; Caricaceae. The record is from RNAcentral.
AUACCGGACGGAGUAUUGAGGUUCAUGGUUUUGGCGCCCAUACCGAACGGGGUAUGGGGACGGCCCUGGAAUCAGAUUAUUAAUGUUAAUGGUUCACGUGUAGCGGGGACCCCCUAUGGAUCCCCAUGGAUACUAGUAGGCUGGUAAAAGAGGAAAUCUGUUGUCUGAUUAUUAGAGUGCAAAAGUAUAACAUGUGUUAUGUUACAAAGUGUAUAUGAUUUUAUGAUGACUUUAAUAUUAUUGUU